GUUUGCAAUUUGAGGUUUUUAUUGCAAGUUGUGGAACCCUGCUCCUGUUAAAGGGAUUACAGACAAUUCCAGAAUUCUCUGGAAAAGGGCCCUUGGGAGCAGGGUCUUAUAGGCAUAAUCCUGGAACUGAGCCAUGUCCUCAUGCCUCAUGGGCUAGCUCUCUGGGCCUGUCCCUACAGUCCUCAAGGCCAGUGUUUCCCAGAGCAGUCCUCAUUUAAAUAUUCUACUCUGUGUAUCAAACCAUUUUCUUGAUUUGCUGGGUUUGGUUUGGGAAACAUAAUUAUGUCGGUGUAUAGCAGACACUUAAUUCUCGUUUUAAUGGAGUUGUUCAUUGGCAAUACAUAUAGGCAGCAGACCCAAGUGUCUUUAUCUGUUGGUACUAAGUUGGCUCUCUAUCCUUCCUGGGGUAUCAGGGACUCCUGACCCUGUUGAAGUCUCCAUGACUAGAGCAUUGUACCUUGCUAAGCAUAUUCAUAGCAGGCUCAACCCCCUGUAGCAAUAUUAUCUUUCUGUCUAUCUAUCUAAAAUCUAUUCAACUAUCCAUUAUAAAGAAAAUGGAGAGAACAGAAGGCUUUCACACAUUUUCUUUACACAGGUCAAGAUUUUGGAUAGCUCUUCCUACCAUGUCCCUUCAAGAGGCUGGGCUUAAUAACAUUUAGGACAAAAUGAGAAACCCCACCUCUUUCCACAAUGCUGCAUGGUAGAAAGGUCUCUUGAGAUUUGCUCUUGCAGGCUGCUAGCAUUUCGUUUUGAUGUUAUUGCUGCUGUUCUGGGUUUUAAAUGAAAAUUUUUAUUGAAAUGAAAAUUUUUACUGUGUUUGUGGACUGGCUUUUAGCAAAGGCUGCAGUUUAAGAAAGUCUAAUAAAUGAAUGAGAGAUGUGUAUAAAGAGAAUUAAAACUGAAACCUGGUCAACUCACACUUGCAGAGCAUUUCAUAAAACACGAGAGAAUCUGAUGCUGUUUUGGAAAGUGACGUGCCUGACAAACUGGAGAACUAGCCUGGGCCUCUCUUUCAGAACUAUUACAAACCACAAAAGUCUGUACUUUCUGUGUUGGUUUGGAGUGAGGUUACAAGGCCAUGUAAACUUCAGAAGACCUCUCUGGGAACAUUCCACGGGCCUCCAUCCUUACGUGAUUGGCCCUGACCCACCUGUCAGGAAAGAGGGAUUUGGACACUAUGUUGCCACAUGA
RNAcentral lists this long non-coding RNA (1191 nucleotides) under Felis catus (domestic cat). Its description in RNAcentral is "lncRNA (ENSFCAG00000045997.2)". The record is from RNAcentral. Lineage: Eukaryota; Metazoa; Chordata; Mammalia; Carnivora; Felidae.